AUUGAACGCUGGCGGCAGGCCUAACACAUGCAAGUCGAGCGGUAGAGAGGUGCUUGCAUCUCUUGAGAGCGGCGGACGGGUGAGUAAUGCCUAGGAAUCUGCCUGGUGGUGGGGGAUAACGUUCGGAAACGGACGCUAAUACCGCAUACGUCCUACGGGAGAAAGCGGGGGAUCUUCGGACCUCGCGCCAUUAGAUGAGCCUAGGUCGGAUUAGCUAGUUGGUGAGGUAAUGGCCUCACCAAGGCGACGAUCCGUAACUGGUCUGAGAGGAUGAUCAGUCACACUGGAACUGAGACACGGUCCAGACUCCCGUAGGGAGGCAGCAGGUGGGGAA
Molecule: ribosomal RNA, 334 nt
Filed under: uncultured bacterium
Lineage: Bacteria
Description: bacterial SSU rRNA
Rfam family: Bacterial small subunit ribosomal RNA
Source: RNAcentral